UACAGAGGGUGCAAGCGUUAAUCGGAAUUACUGGGCGUAAAGCGUGCGUAGACGGUUGCGUAAGUCAGAUGUGAAAAUCCCCCGGGCUCAACCCUGGGGAAUUUGCGAUGGAGACUGCAAGGCUAGAAUCUGGCAGAGGGGGGGUAGAAUUCCACGGUGUAGCAGUGAAAAUGCGUAGAGAUGUGGGAGGGAAACACCGAUGGCGAAGGCAGCCCCCUGGGUCAAAGCAUUGACGCUCAUGCACGAAAGCGUGGGGAGCAAACAG
This 265-nucleotide ribosomal RNA is filed under the name uncultured bacterium. RNAcentral's name for it is "partial 16S ribosomal RNA". It matches the Rfam family "Bacterial small subunit ribosomal RNA", at positions 524 to 775 of the family's 1533-position model. The record is from RNAcentral.